RNAcentral lists this ribosomal RNA (208 nucleotides) under uncultured Chloroflexota bacterium. RNAcentral describes it as "uncultured Chloroflexi bacterium partial 16S ribosomal RNA". It matches the Rfam family "Bacterial small subunit ribosomal RNA", at positions 568 to 775 of the family's 1533-position model. The record is from RNAcentral. Lineage: Bacteria; Bacillati; Chloroflexota.
CGUGUAGGCGGCAUAUUAAGUUGGAUGUGAAAGCUCCUGGCUCAACUGGGAGAGGACGUUCAAUACUGGUAGGCUAGAGGGCGACAGAGGGAGGUGGAAUUCCCGGUGUAGUGGUGAAAUGCGUAGAUAUCGGGAGGAACACCAGUGGCGAAGGCGGCCUCCUGGGUCGCACCUGACGCUCAGACGCGAAAGCUAGGGGAGCGAACGG